UACGUAGGUGGCAAGCGUUGUCCGGAAUUAUUGGGCGUAAAGCGCGCGCAGGCGGUCCUUUAAGUCGGAUGUGAAAUCCCCAGGCUCAACUUGGGAACUGCAUCCGAUACUGGAUGGCUUGAAUUCGGGAGAGGGAUGCAGAAUUCCAGGUGUAGCGGUGAAAUGCGUAGAUAUCUGGAGGAAUACCGGUGGCGAAGGCGGCAUCCUGGACCGACAUUGACGCUGAGGAGCGAAAGCUAGGGGAGCAAACGGG
This 253-nucleotide ribosomal RNA is filed under the name uncultured bacterium. RNAcentral's name for it is "partial 16S ribosomal RNA". It matches the Rfam family "Bacterial small subunit ribosomal RNA", at positions 524 to 776 of the family's 1533-position model. The record is from RNAcentral.